CAGUCGCCACGGUAAUACGAAGGGGGCUAGCGUUGCUCGGAAUCACCGGGCGUAAAGGGUGCGUAGGCGGGUCUUUAAGUCAGGGGUGAAAUCCUGGAGCUCAACUCCAGAACUGCCUUUGAUACUGAAGAUCUUGAGUUCGGGAGAGGUGAGUGGAACUGCGAGUGUAGAGGUGAAAUUCGUAGAUAUUCGCAAGAACACCAGUGGCGAAGGCGGCUCACUGGCCCGAUACUGACGCUGAGGCACGAAAGCGUGGGGAGCAAACAGGAUUAGAUACCCCUGUAGUCCCUGUCUCUUAUAC
RNAcentral lists this ribosomal RNA (301 nucleotides) under uncultured bacterium. RNAcentral describes it as "partial 16S ribosomal RNA". It matches the Rfam family "Bacterial small subunit ribosomal RNA", at positions 509 to 807 of the family's 1533-position model. The record is from RNAcentral.